GUAAACCCAUCUCCCACCACCACCAGGCCACACCCAUAACCCUCACCCCACCCAGUCUAACCACUACCCUCACCUCCUCCUAAAUCCAUACAAAUAAUCCCUCCCCUCCUCCACCGGUGUCCAACACCCCUACCCCUCACCCCACCCUCUAACCACUCCCCCUCCACCUCCAUCGUUCACACCUACCCUCCUCCAUGUUCCCCUCCCCAGUUUUACCACUCUCCUCCCCAUCAACCUCACCAGAAGCCCUUUACAAGUACAAGUCUCCUCCUCCUCCUCCUCCCCAGUUCUAUUCUCCACCCCACCCCACUACUACUACAAAUCCCCUCCUCCUCCUUACCACUACUAGAUACUUCACACUACAUGGAUCUUAAAUCUGAAAGCCAUGGACGGGAAGCUGCACUUCUUGCCUGCAGAUUCACCGAGAAUUAUAAAUGUUCAUCAAUUGUUUAAAGAACCGUCUUUACUUCCAUAGUCAUUAUGCUUUUCUUCUAUUAUUAGACAGUUGUAAGGCAUGUGUUCUACAUGUGUCUGCACUUGUAUGAAUCUUUUGUAAUUUUCAAAGUCUGCUUUAUCAACCUCACCAAAUAAAUCAUUCCUUCCCAUGGGAUUCACUUUU
Molecule: non-coding RNA, 619 nt
Organism: Vigna umbellata (rice bean)
Lineage: Eukaryota; Viridiplantae; Streptophyta; Magnoliopsida; Fabales; Fabaceae
Source: RefSeq, a predicted model, not a curated record